CUCGGAGGAUGGGGCUGUGUCGUGUCUGUGUGGCCGGAAGCGAUAAGUAACAAGUUAGCGGGAAAGGAAGGCCGCUAAGCAGAGCCCGCGAAGGCAAGUGGGUGGAAGGGAGAUCUUCAGAGCUGUCACUAGUUCAGUUAACGAUUGUCGAAUGGUUGGUACUGAAAAUAAUGGGGGGAAUGGCUGAAGAAAGUGCACUUUAGAUGAAAUUUAAAACCGACAUCCUGACCCUUUUGUGUUCUCAUUUCAGCCUAUGCUCAUCUGUGACGUCAGGAUGGGUGCACGCUUGCAACAUGGUUGUCUGUAAAGACACAGAAGCCACCCUCUUGGUUGUGAACAGCCAGCCUGGAGAAGACCUCAGUCCCAAAUCCCAGGAUUUCUUUGGUAAACCAAACUCCAGUGAGCACAGUAGAGUCUUUCAUGGAAGAACCAGUGGAGGAUAUAGCAUCUCAGCCAGGAAUGUGCUUUAACCAAGCUUGUGAUCUGUCAGAAGCUAGCAAUCACAGCAAGGCAGUGAAUGGAAUAGCAUGAGAUAAAAGUUUACAAUUUCUUUUUCCAAAUUACACAGGAAGGAUGUAAAACUAUGCUGAGACUCGGACUUUUUGUUUGUUUGUUAAGAACUUUCAAGAGAGGCUCGGAUGUAGUGAGUGAAGAGAGGACACCUAAGAGACUGCUGUCUGUGAGCUAACAGCUAUACAGCCUAAGAGCCCAACAACAGAAGAGCUGGUACUCUCCAGGCAGUAAGACCAGCAUCACAAAAUGGAGUUCAGCAGCAGGAGGGCCAAGGGAGGGCUGCAAAAUGAAAAAAAGGAGAAGCUAGUGACAGAGGAGAUGUGAACUCUGGCUGAAAAGAUGGUGACACAGUGUCUUUGCCAUGAUAGGGAGAUGAGGGAGCAAGACAUGGCAUUUCAAAGGGACGUCUGAGAGACUGUUAGGGAUUAUGAACCAGUCAAUUCCAAGCUCUACUGCCCAACCCACAUGUCCAGUCCCAUCACUUCACUUCCAUUGCACCAUAUCUUCCAGCAUAUGUACAAGUCUAGAUGUGGGAGUCGGAGAGCAAGUCAAUGAGUCAUAGCACUGCACACCAUCAGCAGUAGCUGCGGUGUUCUGCCCCUAUUCCUACACAGGGGAACAAACUGGUAUCUUGAAGAUGUACAGUUCCAUUAGAUGUAACAGUGCACAUCAAUAUUUUCAGUAUAUUUUGCUCUUUGCUUCAGUAUUUUGCACUGUUAUAUUCUUGCUUACACCUGUUAAUGUUCUGCACAUCUUUUCAACUUCGUAAUGCUGGCUGGACUGCCCAAAACACGUUUUGCCUGGGGAAGACAGGGGCUGGUGAGCGCUUUGUAUAGCUCCAUGAAUGUACUUUUCUCAUACAAAAGCUCUGGACCCUGACCCUGCUGGCCUGUGUUUCACAAUGUAGUCCCACCACUCUGUGCUUGUGACCCUGAUCCAGAAGCAGCAGUUUGCCUAGUGUGCUUGGGGAUGUCUGCCAUGAAAGACAGCACUUGCUAGGUCCAUGCCGCCCUAUCUGCAUAGUGCUGGCCUUUUUGCCUUGUGCUUGUAUCAGCAAGCCCCUGCCUUCCCCAGGCAAAACGCCACCUUCACCCUAUUUUUGUGGCAGCUUCUGCAAAGGCAUGCCAAAGAAUUAUUGUUUCAAUAAAAAACAGCAGCUGUCACUCCCAGUUGUUAAGACAAGCAGAUUACCUCCUUGCAGCACAAGGAGGUAACAGAGCACCAGCUUGUGUCCUGGCAAUUUUGUGGGUCUAGACCAUUUCUGCCAACUAUCUCCAUAGGGGUAAGACGUUGCCACAUACCCAUGUCCUCUGAAAGUUAACUCUAGAGUAUGUACCUAGAAAUCUUUGCAUUUCAGGAUUGAAUACAGCACCAGUACUGACGCCGUGUGUGACUGCAUAUGUCGGGUAUUCAACUGCUGUUCUGCAGCGUGGUCAUGCUAUACUGAUUUGUAAUGUCCAACUCAAAAUUAGACUGCAGUGAAGACAAAGUCUGUGUCUCAUGCUACCAGAAAAUGUUUUUUUCCUCUAAUGUUACUGUACAAAAAACCCACAAGCAAUAUGGAAAAUGGACUAGACAGUGGAAAACCAGUGAAAAUGACUACACACAAAAUCCUGCUAAAUACAUAAACAAAUUAAUUAUAAAAAUAUAGUUCUCUUCUAAUCUUUAAUUUCUUAAAUUCUUAGGUAAUAUUUGAACACACUAGCACUUACAAUUUCAAAAAGUGAUUUUUAAGUUGACAAUGUCCCUUUAAAUAAAAUACAAAAUAUUAGCUAAAACAUUUUGCAUUCUUAUUAGAAAAUUCCAGCAACUAUAGUACUAAAAGCAUCUUUGUGGUUGAUCCAAGACUGUAGGGCAAGCUUUCUAAAUGAAGCAGGAAAAUGUUAUGUAAUUUAAACAUUGCUGAUUGCUAAACACAGGUGCUGAAUAAUAUCAGAAUUAUAGCUCCUUAAAAUGCAACCACAAGAUUUACACAUUUAUUAAAUUUAAUAAAAGCUACUUGCAAUGCAAAGUAUGCAUACAACAAAAUGUUAGCGUUAUCACCAGAACUAAGUUUCUGGACACCUGAAUCUAAUUAACAUUAGUGAGAGUCAUACAGUUAACAGGGCAAUGAAAUUUCCUCAGGCUAUGAUUCCUAAAAUGCAAUGGGGAAAACAAUAGGAUCUUCAUUUAGAAGUCUGCUCUUUGAACUAGAAUGUUUAUGUCCUUAAACAAUACAGAAAAAACUUACUGCUAUAAAUUUAAACUGUUUCCUUUAGUUAAUGUAAACACUGUUUUUAAUUAUACACCUCUACCUUGAUAUAACGCUGUCCUUGGGAGCCAAAAAAUGUUACCACAUUAUAGGUGAA
Long non-coding RNA from Gopherus evgoodei (Goodes thornscrub tortoise), 2861 nucleotides. RefSeq lists it as uncharacterized. The transcript has 3 exons. NCBI's taxonomy places the organism in Eukaryota, Metazoa, Chordata, Testudines, Testudinidae. The record is from RefSeq and is a predicted model, not a curated record.